UUCCCGGCAGUCCAGUGGUUAAGACUCUGUGCUUCCAAUGCAUGGGGUGCAGGUUUGAUCCCUGCUCAGGGAG
RNAcentral lists this transfer RNA (73 nucleotides) under Ovis aries (sheep). It matches the Rfam family "tRNA". From Rfam's summary of the family: Transfer RNA (tRNA) molecules are approximately 80 nucleotides in length. Their secondary structure includes four short double-helical elements and three loops (D, anti-codon, and T loops). Further hydrogen bonds mediate the characteristic L-shaped molecular structure. tRNAs have two regions of fundamental functional importance: the anti-codon, which is responsible for specific mRNA codon recognition, and the 3' end, to which the tRNAs corresponding amino acid is attached (by aminoacyl-tRNA synthetases). tRNAs cope with the degeneracy of the genetic code in two manners: having more than one tRNA (with a specific anti-codon) for a particular amino acid; and 'wobble' base-pairing, i.e. permitting non-standard base-pairing at the 3rd anti-codon position. The record is from Rfam by way of RNAcentral. Lineage: Eukaryota; Metazoa; Chordata; Mammalia; Artiodactyla; Bovidae.